This 482-nucleotide ribosomal RNA is filed under the name uncultured bacterium. Its description in RNAcentral is "partial 16S ribosomal RNA". It matches the Rfam family "Bacterial small subunit ribosomal RNA", at positions 30 to 507 of the family's 1533-position model. The record is from RNAcentral.
AUUGAACGCUGGCGGCAUGCCUUACACAUGCAAGUCGAACGGUAACGCGCCUUCUGGUGCCGGCGCGUGGCGCACGGGUGCGUAAUACAUCCGAACGUGCCCGAUCGUGGGGGAUAACGAGGCGCAAGCUUUGCUAAUACCGCAUACGAUCUACGGAUGACAUCAGGGGACCGCAAGGCCUUGCGCCGACGGGGCGGCCGAUGGCAGAUUAGGUAGUUGGUGGGAUAAAAGUGUCCCACGCCGACGAUCUGUAGCUGCUGUGAGAGGAUGAUCGGCCACAUGAGGACUGAGACAGGGCCCAGACUACUGCGGGAGGCAGCAGAGGGGAAUGUUGGACAAUGGGCGCAAGCCUGAUCCAGCGAUGCCGCGUGCAGGAUGAAGGCCUUGGGGGUGUAAACUGCUUUUGUGCGGAACGAAAAGCCUUCUUUUAAUACGGGAGGGUCAUGACGGUACCGUAAGAAUAAGCACCGGCUAACUACGUG